AUCGAGUCGCGACUUCUAGGAGACGCGAUUCUUUGAGAUAAAAGUUAUUACAACUUUCAGCAACGGAUCUCUUGGCUCUCGCAUCGAUGAAGAACGCAGCGAAAAGCGAUAUGUAAUGUGAAUUGCAGAUCUACAGUGAAUCAUCGAAUCUUUGAACGCACCUUGCGCUCCUCGGUGUUCCGAGGAGCAUGCCUGUUUGAGUGUCAGUA
This 209-nucleotide ribosomal RNA is filed under the name Rhizopogon sp. StBB1-3. RNAcentral's name for it is "5.8S ribosomal RNA". The stretch from base 52 to 206 matches the Rfam family "5.8S ribosomal RNA". Rfam says of the family: 5.8S ribosomal RNA (5.8S rRNA) is a component of the large subunit of the eukaryotic ribosome. It is transcribed by RNA polymerase I as part of the 45S precursor that also contains 18S and 28S rRNA. Functionally, it is thought that 5.8S rRNA may be involved in ribosome translocation. Lineage: Eukaryota; Fungi; Basidiomycota; Agaricomycetes; Boletales; Rhizopogonaceae. The record is from RNAcentral.